RNAcentral lists this ribosomal RNA (1188 nucleotides) under Triticum aestivum (bread wheat). RNAcentral's name for it is "partial small subunit ribosomal RNA". The record is from RNAcentral. Lineage: Eukaryota; Viridiplantae; Streptophyta; Magnoliopsida; Poales; Poaceae.
AUGCGCUUUUGCUUCGAAUCCUUCUGGUUGAACCAGUUGGGAUUUGUUGAGGCCGUUGGCGCGCGGUAGGAGGCGGCGCGUGCCUCUCCUCACCGGUCUCUCUACGCCAUGGACUCCUAUCACUUCUGCGCUAAGAGCGCUCGCCAGUUUAUGAGGUGGGGAGCCAACCUUGGUAGGAACAUUCGUGAUAGGAAGAAGGCUUUUCUCGACUCCAUCCAGGCACUUAACCUUAGGGAUGACACAUCGGGCCUUUCGGCCAACGAGUGGCUUCUACGCCAUGAUCUUGACCCGCUCAUGGUCAUUUACACCGAUGAGGAGGCCUACUGGCGUCAGCAUGCAACCCAGAAGUGGGUUCUUUAGGGAGACACGAAUAUGACAUACUUCCAGGCCAUAGCCAAUGGACGAAGACGCCGAAACACCAUCCCCCUCUUGUGGGACGGUGAGACCCUCCUCCAACAGCCGGCUGACAUUUGCGCGCACGUGGAUGGGUUUUAGAAAGCCCUUUUCUCGUCCUCCCCUCACGGAAGCUUGGCCUUGGCCCCCGAUAUCUAGGCCGAGCACCAGCGCAUCUCGGGGGCCGAGAAGGCAACCAUGACACCUUUUUCUGAGGAAGUCUGGAUGGCCAUCAAGCGCAUCAAUCCGAUAGCCGACUCAGACCCUAAUGGCCUCCCAGUUAAGUUCUUCCGGACGUUCUGGAGAGUCAUUAAACAUGACGUGAUGGCUCUCUUCGAGGAGUUCUAUGUGGGCUCCAUUGAUGUGACCUAACUUAACUACAGGAUCAUCACCCUCAUUCCGAAGGUUCCUGAGGCUUCAGACAUCCGCCAGUUUCCCACGAUCACGGUGAUCAAUGUGAUCUUCUGCAUCCUGGCAAAGUGGUACGUCAAUAGGGUGACCUCACUAGCUGACUGUGCUACCCAUCCAAAUCAGUCGGCCUUCAUCCAAGGCCGCUAUUUUCUUGAUGGGAUCUUGGUCUUCCAUGAAAUUCGCGCCAAAAGCCAGAAGGCGGUAUUCCUGAAAAUCGACUUUCAUAAAGCCUAUGUCACUGUCCAUUGGCCCUUCCUUCAGGAAGUUUUGCUCUGCAAGGGGUUUGAUGAUUGUUGGGUCACCCAAGUCAUGCAGAUGGUUUCAUCCGGUCGUACCGCGGUUAACAUCAAUGCAGAGAUCGGCUGUACUUCCUGCUACUUGUGA